GCGGGUCAGAAUCUAGUAGCCUA
This 23-nucleotide non-coding RNA is filed under the name Arabidopsis thaliana (thale cress). Lineage: Eukaryota; Viridiplantae; Streptophyta; Magnoliopsida; Brassicales; Brassicaceae. The record is from RNAcentral.